This 491-nucleotide ribosomal RNA is filed under the name uncultured bacterium. RNAcentral describes it as "bacterial SSU rRNA". It matches the Rfam family "Bacterial small subunit ribosomal RNA", at positions 30 to 508 of the family's 1533-position model. The record is from RNAcentral.
AUUGAACGCUGGCGGCAGGCCUAACACAUGCAAGUCGAGCGGUAGCACAAGAGAGCUUGCUCUCUGGGUGACGAGCGGCGGACGGGUGAGUAAUGUCUGGGAAACUGCCUGAUGGCGGGGGAUAACUAGUGGAAACGGUAGCUAAUACCGCAUAACGUCGCAAGACCAAAGUGGGGGACCUUCGGGCCUCACGCCAUCAGAUGUGCCCAGGUGGGAUUAGCUGGUAGGUGGGGUAACGGCUCACCUAGGCGACGAUCCCUAGCUGGUCUGAGAGGAUGACCAGCCACACUGGAACUGAGACACGGUCCAGACUCCUACGGGAGGCAGCAGUGGGGAAUAUUGCACAAUGGGCGCAAGCCUGAUGCAGCCAUGCCGCGUGUGUGAAGAAGGCCUUCGGGUUGUAAAGCACUUUCAGCGAGGAGGAAGGGUAAUGUGUUAAUAAGACAUUGCAUUGACGUUACUCGCAGAAGAAGCACCGGCUAACUCUGUGC